CAGCGCCACAAGUGGCAAUCACGUUUAUUGGGCCUAAAGCGUUCGUAGCCGGUUUUGUAAAUCCUAUGUGAAAUCGUCAAGCUUAACCUGACGUCGUGCAAAGGACACUACAGAACUAGAGACCGGGAGAUGUUAGAGGUAUCUUGGGGGUAGCGGUAAAAUGCAAUAAUCCCCGAAGGACCACCUGUGGCGAAAGCGUCUAACAAGAACGGGUCUGACGGUGAGGAACGAAAGCCAGGGGAGCGAACCGGAUUAGAUACCCGAGUAGUCC
This 271-nucleotide ribosomal RNA is filed under the name uncultured archaeon. Its description in RNAcentral is "partial 16S ribosomal RNA". It matches the Rfam family "Archaeal small subunit ribosomal RNA", at positions 477 to 747 of the family's 1478-position model. The record is from RNAcentral.